UGCUUGGUCUCUGUCGUUGUAUUUGUAACUUCUUAAUCUUGAUUCAAUGCCCUUCGUUGCCAUUUUUAUUAAAAAAUAUUGAACGAACACAACAAAUUAAAAUUUAUUUGCUCCUUGACUGCCCAGUACUUGCUCAACAACGCAAAGUGCGCAUGUGCAUUGUAUACCGCUGUUCAGUUGAAACGCGGCAGAAUAUUAACACCGGAAGAGCAAAUAUUACAUUCAUGUGUAGUGGUGUCUAAAUUAAAAUUAUAAAUAUUUAUAUAUUAAAGAUCUAUUUAACCUGUGCCAAUUAAAGGUGAGUUUUCCUUCGAAAUUAUAAAUGAUAUUUUAUUUAAUGAUUUUUUAAAAGGUUAAUAAUGCAUGUAUCAAUUUGAAACAUCGGCCCGCCCCCCCCCCCCUGACAGCCCCGAGCAUACCCUUGGGCAUAUUAAAACUUAAAUGUCCCUAGGUAUAAACAUCAAAUUUCAUAGAAUGCUAGAUUUGGUGGGUAUAAAUUUAAGUGAGCAUAUAUGUACACAAUUUAAGAUUCCGAGUCGCACAGGUUUGAUUCAUGCCCCUAAGGCCUGGUGUUGCAUUUUUUGCAACAUGCCGUCCCUGGUUAGGUCUUGAAUUGUGUAUAUAAUAUACGGCUCACUUGAAUAUUUACACACUAAAUCCUGCAUUCUAGUUCAAGUGAGGUGCAAUUACAUCUUUCAAAUUAAAUCUCUUUUGUUUCCUAACAAGAUAAAAUGAAAAGAAUGAAUAUAAAUAUACUUUUAAUUAACCCAUUAAGUUGCAUGCAUUUGCAUCCCAAAGCACCUACUUUGUUAUUUUAUUCUGUCUAACACCAGAUGAUUUUACUUGUCUGGGAAUCUGAGUGAUAUGGUGCUCAAUGGAAUAGAAUUGUUAAAUGCAAUAUAUAGACAGAGAGAAUGUACUAUUUUCCAUCACAAAGAAGAUUCAGAAUGUUCAAUUCCCCACUCCCUGGAGAGAUAUUUAGAUUAUAGAGUCAGAUUCUCAGGGUAUGUAUGCUUGAGGAACACGGAGGGAGGGGGAGGGAUUGGGCAAUGUUUUAAUUUAAUCUGUACAUAAAUAGUUAUAUUUUGUAUAUAUAAUGUGGAUUCAGGAAGACUGUUUAAUUUGAAUAAUUAUCGUGUGCGUUGCAACAAUUGCAUUAUGAUGUUUCUAGGAAGGCACCAACAACAACACCAUCCCACCAGCAACAACACCAUUCCCACCAACAACAACAUCAUCCCACCAACAACAACACCAUCCCACCAUGCAACAACAACACCAUCCACUCAACCAGGUUCUUAGCUAGAAGGCUGUGUUGGCCGUGUUAUCGUGGGCAAAAAUGUAAAAACACGGCUAGAUGAAAUGAAUGUCUAUGCUCGCCUUGUAUUUGGUUGAAAACCAUAGAACAACCACAGGUAUAAUCUAUUGUUGACAAGCAUGCAUAACUGGAAUCAUGUUUUUGGCUAUUCAAGGCAAUUGACAUGGGCACACCCUGGAAAUUUAGAAACACGCCCAAGAUAUAAAAUGCUAGCUAAGAUCCUGCACCCAACAACGACACCAUCCCACCAACAACACCAUCCCACUAACAACAUCAUCCCACCAACAACAUCACCAUCCCAAAUUGCACCAACAACACCAUCCCACCAACAACAACACCAUCCCACUAACAACAACACCAUCCCACCAACAACAUUACCAUCCCAAAUUGCACCAACAACAACACCAUCCCACCAACAACACCAUCCCAAAUUGCACCAACAACAACACCAUCCCACCAACAACAACACCAUCCCACUAACAACAACAGCACCAUCCCACCAACAACAUCACCAUCCCACCAACAACAUCGAUCACCAUCCCACCAUGCACCACCACUGUUCCAGAGUAGUCAUAUUUUUGUACUCUUCAACAAAAAUAAGUUUUAAACUUUUAAAUUUUUAUUUCUCAAAUUAAUACUGCAGAUUCUGUAUAAGACUGUUUAAUGCAAAUAAUUAUCACGUGUGUUGCAACAGUUGCGAGGGUGCGGUUUGUAUGUAUUGUGAGAAAAACAUGUUCUGGCAUACAAUAUAAUAUUCAUUGAAUUUUGGUGUUUUUAUAGUCAUGUAUGUCUCUUUCUGUACUCCUCUGGAAAUUAUUUUGUCAAACAUUAAAUACAAUCUUCUGGUUUUACUUGAAAAAUGUUUUUCCUUGUUUGUACGUUCGUCAUUUGCGACUUACUUUUCCACAUUUUGCAACUGUAAAAUUCCAUCCAUGAAUGGUUGAAUUUUAAAAAUAACAUUUAAACCCAUGGUGAUGUUGUUGGUGGGAUGCAUGGUUUCAGGGUGGUGGUAUAUGGCGAGGUUGGUGGUGGGAUAUAUAGUGAUGUUGUUGGUGGAAUGGUGAUAUUUUUGGUGGGAUGCAUGGUAAUGUUGUUGGUGGUAAUGAUAAUGUGAUCUAGGUAGUGGUAGUGACUUCAUUAUUUUGACAACACUGUAUGGUAAAGCUCAGCACAAUUACAUUUGUAAAUAUGCAUUUUCUGUUCCAUUAUCUCCAAUGAUCUCAAUUUUAAGAAUGAGUGCUGAGUACAGUAAUAACUUAUAAGUAUUUAUGUGUCUUGCAGAAUGUUGUCAUAAAUUGAUCCAUCUACCCUUGGGUUUAAAAAGUGAAACAAAUAUAUAGUAUAAAUUCCUAAACAUGGGUUUCUGGUCAAGCUACAAAAGACUUACUCAGAGACAGAAAUUUCUCAUUGGCCUCAGCUGGAUUGCAACUGGUUUACUUGGUCCACAUAUCUUGCUCUAUUUUGUCCCAAGUCAGAAACAAAGACUUCAGGAAAAACAAAGAAUUGAAAAUGAAAAAGAAGAAUUGAGUAGUUAGUUGAAUUAGAACUAUAAGAGUCGAGUCCAGUUGGCUGCAUGGGAAGCUGACCAAAGACCAAAUUGGGAUGAAUUAUUAUUAUCCCACAUUAUUAUGCUGCCUCACUUUCUGUUGUGAUUGAACAAACUGUACUUUUUAAUUAUUACAACUUUAAUAGUGUUAGGUCUUGGCAGAAGUGGAAAAAGUAUUGGAACCUGCAUGGGAACCUAGUUCCCAGAAAUUUUUUAGGCAUCCAAAUUUUCGCAGAAAUUUUCACAGAUAUUGUUUUAUAUUUGAUAACUAAUUCUGAGAAUUACACUAAUUGAAUAUCAGAUUACUAAAUACUUGAUUAUUGAAAUGAUUGAAUAGUUAUAUAAUUAAUCUGCUAUCUCGAUACCUAAAUUACAGUGGAAUAGUUCAGAACAAAAAUAGCAUGCAGUGUUACUUUGUAACUAUGAUUUUGUACUUCAGGAUUUAUCUUGUAUGCUUGAUCAGUCUUAAUUGAAGAGAUUGCUUCACGCGACUCACAUCUUAAUGAAUAUAAUCCAUGUAAGGUAAGACCGACAU
Molecule: non-coding RNA, 3396 nt
Organism: Paramuricea clavata
Lineage: Eukaryota; Metazoa; Cnidaria; Anthozoa; Malacalcyonacea; Plexauridae
Source: the annotation of a GenBank genome assembly